RNAcentral lists this unclassified non-coding RNA (329 nucleotides) under soil metagenome. RNAcentral describes it as "partial contains 5.8S ribosomal RNA, internal transcribed spacer 2, and large subunit ribosomal RNA". The stretch from base 1 to 120 matches the Rfam family "5.8S ribosomal RNA", at positions 35 to 154 of the family's 154-position model. The record is from RNAcentral.
GAUGAAGAACGCAGCGAAGUGCGAUAAGUAAUGUGAAUUGCAGAAUUCAGUGAAUCAUCGAAUCUUUGAACGCACAUUGCGCCCCCUGGUAUUCCGGGGGGCAUGCCUGUCCGAGCGUCAUUACAACCCUCAAGCUCAGCUUGGUGUUGGGCCCCGCCGCCCCGGCGGGCCCUAAAGUCAGUGGCGGUGCCGUCCGGCUCCGAGCGUAGUAAUUCUUCUCGCUCUGGAGGUCCGGUCGUGUGCUCGCCAGCAACCCCCAAUUUUUUUCAGGUUGACCUCGGAUCAGGUAGGGAUACCCGCUGAACUUAAGCAUAUCAAUAAGCGGAGGA